CCCCUGAGUAGAGUGGCGUCCGGGUGAGUAACACGUGGGUAAUCUACCUUUGGGUGGGGAAUAACACCUCGAAAGAGGUGCUAAUACCGCAUAAUGCAGCGGCAGCAGAUGCUGAAUAGUUGUUAAAGCGGGGGAUUCGCAAGAACCUCGCGCCUGAAGAGGAGCCCGCGGCAGAUUAGCUAGUUGGUGAGGUAACGGCUCACCAAGGCGGCGAUCUGUAGCUGGUCUGAGAGGACGGCCAGCCACACUGGCACUGACAUACGGGCCAGACUCCUACGGGAGGCAGCAGUGGGGAAUUUUGGGCAAUGGGCGAAAGCCUGACCCAGCAACGCCGCGUGAGGGAGGAAAUCCUUCGGGAUGUAAACCUCACAAGCAAGGGAAGAGCGGAUAGGGGCUAAUACCCGCUAUCUUCGACGGUACCUUGCGUAAGCCACGGCUAACUACGUGCCAGCAGCCGCGGUAAUACGUAGGUGGCAAGCGUUGUUCGGAAUUAUUGGGCGUAAAGGGCGCGUAGGCGGUAGGUUAAGUCAGCUGUGAAAGCCCGGGGCUCAACCCCGGAGGGUCAGCUGAUACUGGCCAACUAGAGUACGGAAGAGGUAGCUGGAAUUCCCGGUGUAGCGGUGAAAUGCGUAGAUAUCGGGAGGAACACCUGAGGCGAAGGCGGGCUACUGGGCCGAUACUGACGCUGAGGCGCGAAAGCCAGGGGAGCGAACGGGAUU
RNAcentral lists this ribosomal RNA (719 nucleotides) under uncultured bacterium. RNAcentral's name for it is "bacterial SSU rRNA". It matches the Rfam family "Bacterial small subunit ribosomal RNA", at positions 83 to 779 of the family's 1533-position model. The record is from RNAcentral.